AAUGAACGCUGGCGGCGCGCCUAAUACAUGCAAGUCGAGCGAGAAGACGUAGCAAUACGUUUGUAAAGCGGCGAACGGGUGAGGAAUACAUGGGUAACCUACCCUCGAGUGGGGAAUAACUAGCCGAAAGGUUAGCUAAUACCGCGUACGCUUCUUGGACUUCGGUUCAGGGAGGAAAGCGAUACCGUGGGUAUCGCGCUCUUGGAUGGGCUCAUGUCCUAUCAGCUUGUUGGUGAGGUAACGGCUCACCAAGGCUUCGACGGGUAGUCGU
RNAcentral lists this ribosomal RNA (271 nucleotides) under uncultured bacterium. Its description in RNAcentral is "partial 16S ribosomal RNA". It matches the Rfam family "Bacterial small subunit ribosomal RNA", at positions 29 to 290 of the family's 1533-position model. The record is from RNAcentral.